RNAcentral lists this ribosomal RNA (973 nucleotides) under Salmonella enterica. Its description in RNAcentral is "partial 23S ribosomal RNA". It matches the Rfam family "Bacterial large subunit ribosomal RNA", at positions 1186 to 2141 of the family's 2925-position model. The record is from RNAcentral. Lineage: Bacteria; Pseudomonadati; Pseudomonadota; Gammaproteobacteria; Enterobacterales; Enterobacteriaceae.
ACCAUGCACCGAAGCUGCGGCAGCGACACUAUGUGUUGUUGGGUAGGGGAGCGUUCUGUAAGCCUGUGAAGGUGUGUCGUGAGGCAUGCUGGAGGUAUCAGAAGUGCGAAUGCUGACAUAAGUAACGAUAAAGCGGGUGAAAAGCCCGCUCGCCGGAAGACCAAGGGUUCCUGUCCAACGUUAAUCGGGGCAGGGUGAGUCGACCCCUAAGGCGAGGCCGAAAGGCGUAGUCGAUGGGAAACGGGUUAAUAUUCCCGUACUUGGUGUUACUGCGAAGGGGGGACGGAGAAGGCUAUGUUGGCCGGGCGACGGUUGUCCCGGUUUAAGCGUGUAGGUGUGUGUUCCAGGUAAAUCCGGUUCACUUUAACACUGAGGCGUGACGACGAGGCACUACGGUGCUGAAGCAACAAAUGCCCUGCUUCCAGGAAAAGCCUCUAAGCAUCAGGUAACAUCAAAUCGUACCCCAAACCGACACAGGUGGUCAGGUAGAGAAUACCAAGGCGCUUGAGAGAACUCGGGUGAAGGAACUAGGCAAAAUGGUGCCGUAACUUCGGGAGAAGGCACGCUGACACGUAGGUGAAGUGAUUUACUCAUGGAGCUGAAGUCAGUCGAAGAUACCAGCUGGCUGCAACUGUUUAUUAAAAACACAGCACUGUGCAAACACGAAAGUGGACGUAUACGGUGUGACGCCUGCCCGGUGCCGGAAGGUUAAUUGAUGGGGUCAGCGCAAGCGAAGCUCCUGAUCGAAGCCCCGGUAAACGGCGGCCGUAACUAUAACGGUCCUAAGGUAGCGAAAUUCCUUGUCGGGUAAGUUCCGACCUGCACGAAUGGCGUAAUGAUGGCCAGGCUGUCUCCACCCGAGACUCAGUGAAAUUGAACUCGCUGUGAAGAUGCAGUGUACCCGCGGCAAGACGGAAAGACCCCGUGAACCUUUACUAUAGCUUGACACUGAACAUUGAGCCUUGAUGUGUAG